GUCUUCUUGGUAUUAUAAGAAGUCGGUCCUGUUCACUGAUUAUUUAAAGAACUGCGGUAUAUUGACCGUGCAAAGGUAGCAUAAUCAUUAGUUUUUUAAUUGAAAGCUUGUAUGAAUGGUUUGACGAGAUUUUAUCUGUCUCUUAUAUAUAGGUUGAAUUUUAUUUUUAAGUUAAAAAGCUUAAAUAUUAAUAGGGGACGAGAAGACCCUGUAGAUUUUUAUAUAUUAAAAUUAUUUUAAUUAUAUGGUUUAUUUAUUAUAUUAAUUUUUGUAUAUUUUGUUGGGGUGACAUGGAUAAUAUUUAACUUUCUUGUAGUAUAACGAUUAUAUUUGGAAAUAAGAUCCUUUAUUAUGGAUUAUAGAUUAAAAUACCUUAGGGAUAACAGCGUUAUUUUAUUUGAGAGUUCUUAUUGAUAAUAAAGAUUGCGACCUCGAUGUUGGAUUAAGAUUACUAAUUAGUGUAGAAGUUAAUUAAGUUGGUCUGUUCGACCAUUAAAUUCUUACA
This 505-nucleotide ribosomal RNA is filed under the name Euscyrtus amani. Its description in RNAcentral is "partial 16S ribosomal RNA". It matches the Rfam family "Archaeal large subunit ribosomal RNA", at positions 1921 to 2669 of the family's 2987-position model. Lineage: Eukaryota; Metazoa; Arthropoda; Insecta; Orthoptera; Gryllidae. The record is from RNAcentral.